GAGUUUGAUCAUGGCUCAGAUUGAACGCUGGCGGCAUGCCUUACACAUGCAAGCCGAACGGCAGCAUGAUCUAGCUUGCUAGAUUGAUGGCGAGUGGCGAACGGAUGAGUAAUACAUCGGAACGUGCCCUGUAGUGGGGGAUAACUAGUCGAAAGAUUAGCUAAUACCGCAUACGACCUGAGGGUGAAAGUGGGGACCGCAAGGCCUCAUGCUAUAGGAGCGGCCGAUGUCUGAUUAGCUAGUUGGUGGGGUAAAGGCCCACCAAGGCGACGAUCAGUAGCUGGUCUGAGAGGACGAUCAGCCACACUGGGACUGAGACACGGCCCAGACUCCUACGGGAGGCAGCAGUGGGAAUUUUGGACAAUGGCGAAAGCCUGAUCCAGCAAUGCCGCGUGUGUGAAGAAGGCCU
This 409-nucleotide ribosomal RNA is filed under the name uncultured microorganism. Its description in RNAcentral is "bacterial SSU rRNA". It matches the Rfam family "Bacterial small subunit ribosomal RNA", at positions 9 to 417 of the family's 1533-position model. The record is from RNAcentral.